CGACAAGCAAAAGAAGGGCGUAUGGGGGAUGCCUAGGCUCUCAGAGGCGACGAAGGACGUGAUAAGCUGCGAAAAACCGCGGGGAGCUGCACAUGAGCAUUGAUCCGCGGGUAUCCGAAUGGGGCAACCCGGCUGGUUGAAGGCCAGUCAUGCCGUAAGGCAGGCGAACCCGCCGAACUGAAACAUCUAAGUAGGCGGAGGAAGAGAAAACAAGAGUGAUUCCGAGAGUAGUGGCGAGCGAAAUCGGAUCGGCCCAAACCGUUGUUGUUCCGGCAAUGACGGGGUUGUAGGACCACAAUGUUCUUUGCGCGACGAACCGGAAGCAGUUGGAAAGCUGCACGAUAUNNNNNNNNNNGUGACAGUCCCGUACGGGCAAGGAGCGUUAAAGAUAGUGGUAUCCUGAGUAGCGCGGGGCACGUGAAACCCUGUGUGAAUCCGGCGGGACCAUCCGCCAAGGCUAAAUACUCCUGGGAGACCGAUAGUGAACCAGUACCGUGAGGGAAAGGUGAAAAGAACCGUGAACAACGGAGUGAAACAGACCCUGAAACCAUACGCCUACAAGCGGUCGGAGUCCCGAUUUAUCGGGAUGACGGCGUGCCUUUUGCAUAAUGAGCCUACGAGUUACUUUUACCGGCAAGGUUAAGCACUUAUGGUGCGCAGCCGUAGCGAAAGCGAGUCUGAACAGGGCGUCUUAGUCGGUAGUAGUAGACGCGAAACCGUGCGAUCUACCCAUGGGCAGGUUGAAGCUGUGGUAACACAUAGUGGAGGACCGAACCCGUUGACGUUGAAAAGUCUUGGGAUGACCUGUGGGUAGGGGUGAAAGGCCAAUCAAGCUCGGAAAUAGCUCGUACUCCCCGAAAUGCAUUUAGGUGCAGCGUUCUGAUAGUUAUAUAGAGGUAGAGCUACUGAUUGGAUGCGGGGGCUUCACCGCCUACCAAUUCCUGACAAACUCCGAAUGCUAUAUAAUGUUUCAGGGCAGUGAGGGCAUGGGUGCUAAGGUCCAUGUCCGAGAGGGAAAGAACCCGGACCAUCAGCUAAGGUCCCCAAAUAUGUGCUAAGUUGACAAAACGCGGUGGGACUGCUUAGACAGCCAGGAUGUUGGCUUGGAAGCAGCCAUUCAUUUAAAGAGUGCGUAACAGCUCACUGGUCGAGCGGUCCCGCAUGGAUAAUGAUCGGGCAUAAGCACAUUACCGAAGCUAUGGCAUCGAAAGAUGGGUAGGGGAGCAUUCUGUUCGGCGCCGAAGGUGCACUGUGAGGUGUGCUGGAGCGUACAGAAACGAAAAUGUAGGCAUAAGUAACGAUAAUGCGGGCGAGAAACCCGCACGCCGAAAGACCAAGGUUUCCCCGGCCAUGCUAAUCAGCCGGGGGUCAGUCGGGACCUAACACGAACCCGGAAGGGGCAGUGGAUGGACAAGCGGUUAAUAUUCCGCUACCCGCAUAUCAUUAAAAGUGACGGGGCAGUUUAGUUGGUGCGUGCUGACGGAAUAGCACGUUGAAGCGCAAGCGAUAGUACGACAAGGCCACGGCCGCGGUGAUAAUCCAGCGGCGUUGCCUCCAAGAAAAGCGAGAUAUGCGGCCCGUACCGUAAACCGACACAGGUGGUCGGGAUGAGAAUUCUAAGGUGCUCGAGAGAUUCAUGGCUAAGGAACUAGGCAAAAUCGGCCCGUAACUUCGGGAGAAGGGUCGCCCAUCUUCGGAUGGGCCGCAGUGAAAAGGUCCAGGCGACUGUUUAUCAAAAACACAGGGCUCUGCUAAAUCGAAAGAUGACGUAUAG
Molecule: ribosomal RNA, 1774 nt
Filed under: Hyphomicrobiales bacterium
Lineage: Bacteria; Pseudomonadati; Pseudomonadota; Alphaproteobacteria; Hyphomicrobiales
Description: partial 23S ribosomal RNA
Rfam family: Bacterial large subunit ribosomal RNA
Source: RNAcentral